RNAcentral lists this transfer RNA (83 nucleotides) under Saprospiraceae bacterium. Its description in RNAcentral is "tRNA-Tyr". It matches the Rfam family "tRNA". From Rfam's summary of the family: Transfer RNA (tRNA) molecules are approximately 80 nucleotides in length. Their secondary structure includes four short double-helical elements and three loops (D, anti-codon, and T loops). The record is from RNAcentral. Lineage: Bacteria; Pseudomonadati; Bacteroidota; Saprospiria; Saprospirales; Saprospiraceae.
GGGGAUGCGCCGGAGUGGGAGAGCCGGGCCAGACUGUAAAUCUGGUGUCUAUGACUGAGUGGGUUCGAAUCCAACUAUCCCCA